Suricata suricatta (meerkat) is the source of this 310-nucleotide long non-coding RNA. RefSeq lists it as uncharacterized. Lineage: Eukaryota; Metazoa; Chordata; Mammalia; Carnivora; Herpestidae. The record is from RefSeq and is a predicted model, not a curated record. The transcript is spliced from 3 exons.
UACCACUUCAGCCUGCAUCAAGCAACCUGUUUCUGGAUAAGAAUGUCGUAUCAGUGGAAUCAUGUAGUCCAGAGACUUCGGAGUCUGGCUCUUCUCAUUUACCAUGCUGCGUUUGAGAUUCAUCCACGUUUUUGUGCAGAUUUAGUAGCUCAUUCCUUUUUACUGAAUCCCAAUGCCUGAGUGUUUUCAACAAAGUGCCACAUCAGCAGAAAUCAACUUGAACCGUUGGCCUUGUUAACUUUUUUAUUGAUUACACUGUGCCGGCUGCAUUUGGACUUGACAACAAACAUGAAUUAUGUACACGUGGAAA